GGGGGCGACUGGCUUCGACGGGACGGUCUGAUUCCGGGAGAAGCAUGCCGAGGCCUACUCCUCGUAAAAAAGGUAGACAAACACAGUCGGCAACGACUACAAUUACGCCCUGGCCGCUUAAGCCGGCCAGCGUCUUUUUUGCCCACUCCUGCGGGGCCUAAGAGACGACAAUUAGCAGGAUGGCCUCUGGGGCUCGGUCCGAAGGACCUGGAGGCGAGAUCUAAACGGGCUGGCUUUCCGGAUGUAAGCCUGCAGGGUGCCGGAAAGCGAGACCUUAACCCUACAGGAUAAGCAUGUAGAAGAACCGGGUAAGCGUUGCCGGACGCGGGUUCGAUUCCCGCCGCCUCCACCA
This 352-nucleotide transfer-messenger RNA is filed under the name Deltaproteobacteria bacterium GWA2_55_82. It matches the Rfam family "transfer-messenger RNA". Rfam says of the family: Bacterial tmRNA, also known as 10Sa RNA or SsrA, is named for its dual tRNA and mRNA-like properties. Its role is to liberate the mRNA from a stalled ribosome. To accomplish this part of the tmRNA is used as a reading frame that ends in a translation stop signal. RNAcentral also lists the same sequence under 4 other names. Lineage: Bacteria; Deltaproteobacteria. The record is from RNAcentral.